RNAcentral lists this ribosomal RNA (416 nucleotides) under bacterium enrichment culture clone ALO1_GLFRUDD03FK05G. RNAcentral's name for it is "bacterial SSU rRNA". It matches the Rfam family "Bacterial small subunit ribosomal RNA", at positions 9 to 428 of the family's 1533-position model. The record is from RNAcentral.
GAGUUUGAUCCUGGCUCAGAUUGAACGCUGGCGGCAGGCCUAACACAUGCAAGUCGAGCGGAUGACGGGAGCUUGCUCCUUGAUUCGGCGGCGGACGGGUGAGUAAUGCCUAGGAAUCUGCCUGGUAGUGGGGGACAACGUUUCGAAAGGAACGCUAAUACCGCAUACGUCCUACGGGAGAAAGCAGGGGACCUUCGGGCCUUGCGCUAUCAGAUGAGCCUAGGUCGGAUUAGCUAGUUGGUGGGGUAAUGGCUCACCAAGGCGACGAUCCGUAACUGGUCUGAGAGGAUGAUCAGUCACACUGGAACUGAGACACGGUCCAGACUCCUACGGGAGGCAGCAGUGGGGAAUUUUGGACAAUGGGGGCAACCCUGAUCCAGCCAUGCCGCGUGAGUGAAGAAGGCCUUCGGUUGUAA